UAAAUUAUCAAUAUAUAGUUCACAUUUUCUGUGAGUCAUCAAAAACAUUUUCAUAAAUCACACUGGCUUUGUUGAUGAAAAUAUAUGAAAAGACGUCGAACCACUCGAAUCCGUGUCAAGUCUCUGUCACCGUUUUACACUACUCGCGAGUUCGUCUGUUCUCAAGGAUGACAUUUUUCGAUAUUCGCGACUGACGCGAUCGGUUGGUUUAUCGUUACUACAUCUGUUUUGUUACAUUCGCGGUCUAGAGCUGAUGAAGCACCAGACGGACACAGGUUCACGCAGCAUGACCUCUGCCGAAUGCUGCCUUUCGUUGUUUUCAUAGCUGUACAGGUAAAACAGCUCGACGUUUUCAAAAAAAUAUUAUUAACGAUGAAAAUGUAAAUUCCAUGGGAUAAAAUAAGAUAUCCUCCUCAUGCUGUGGAUAAAAAACUUGGUAUAGAAAUCAAUCUUCUAAUUAUCUUGUGUGUUAACCGACACCCACACCCCUAAAGUAGUAUAGUGUAUUAUUAUUUAAUCAAAGUGCUGAAAAAUUAUGUGUUGAAUACCCGUAGAUAUUAAAUUUUUA
Aphis gossypii (cotton aphid) is the source of this 568-nucleotide long non-coding RNA. RefSeq lists it as uncharacterized. The record is from RefSeq and is a predicted model, not a curated record. NCBI's taxonomy places the organism in Eukaryota, Metazoa, Arthropoda, Insecta, Hemiptera, Aphididae. The transcript is spliced from 3 exons.